Molecule: unclassified non-coding RNA, 289 nt
Filed under: Epicoccum sp.
Lineage: Eukaryota; Fungi; Ascomycota; Dothideomycetes; Pleosporales; Didymellaceae
Description: partial contains 5.8S ribosomal RNA, internal transcribed spacer 2, and large subunit ribosomal RNA
Rfam family: 5.8S ribosomal RNA (bases 1-71)
Source: RNAcentral
GUGAAUCAUCGAAUCUUUGAACGCACAUUGCGCCCCUUGGUAUUCCAUGGGGCAUGCCUGUUCGAGCGUCAUUUGUACCUUCAAGCUCUGCUUGGUGUUGGGUGUUUUGUCUCGCCUCCGCGUGUAGACUCGCCUUAAAACAAUUGGCAGCCGGCGUAUUGAUUUCGGAGCGCAGUACAUCUCGCGCUUUGCACUCAUAACGACGACGUCCAAAAGUACAUUUUUACACUCUUGACCUCGGAUCAGGUAGGGAUACCCGCUGAACUUAAGCAUAUCAAUAAGCGGAGGA